Molecule: ribosomal RNA, 67 nt
Filed under: Clostridium collagenovorans DSM 3089
Lineage: Bacteria; Bacillati; Bacillota; Clostridia; Eubacteriales; Clostridiaceae
Description: 16S rRNA. Bacterial SSU
Source: RNAcentral
CUGGCUCAGGACGAACGCUGGCGGCGUGCUUAACACAUGCAAGUCGAGCGAUGAAGUUCCUUCGGGA